AGUCGUAACAAGGUAUCCCUACCGGAAGGUGGGGAUGGAUCACCUCCUUUCU
RNAcentral lists this ribosomal RNA (52 nucleotides) under Candidatus Phytoplasma luffae. RNAcentral's name for it is "partial 16S ribosomal RNA". Lineage: Bacteria; Bacillati; Mycoplasmatota; Mollicutes; Acholeplasmatales; Acholeplasmataceae. The record is from RNAcentral. RNAcentral also lists the same sequence under 1 other name.